This 253-nucleotide ribosomal RNA is filed under the name uncultured bacterium. Its description in RNAcentral is "partial 16S ribosomal RNA". It matches the Rfam family "Bacterial small subunit ribosomal RNA", at positions 524 to 778 of the family's 1533-position model. The record is from RNAcentral.
UACGUAGGGUGCAAGCGUUAAUCGGAAUUACUGGGCGUAAAGCGUGCGCAGGCGGUUUUGUAAGUCUGUCGUGAAAUCCCCGGGCUCAACCUGGGAAUUGCGAUGGAGACUGCAAGGCUAGAAUCUGGCAGAGGGGGGUAGAAUUCCACGUGUAGCAGUGAAAUGCGUAGAGAUGUGGAGGAACACCGAUGGCGAAGGCAGCCCCCUGGGUCAAGAUUGACGCUCAUGCACGAAGCGUGGGAGCAACGAGGAU